AUUGUCAACUACCUGAAUUUUUUGGUAGAUGCAUCGUAUGGUUCCUGGAUUGCCUUUUGUGGUUAACUGAUGUGUUUGGCAAACAGAUCAUUUAAACACCAUCAUUUCAUUGUGGAAUGGGAAUGGAACUCGUGCAAAUGAAGAAGUAGCCUAGCAGCAAACAUGCCAAUGUGGUACACUUGUGUGAGACUGAGCAAGAAAGCUGGUUGUUGAACCAAAAAUCAGGCUGGUCUGCUUAUUAGGAUUAGAGAUAUGUUUAAGGAUGAAAGUGGUUAUUGAAGGAGGGAAUUCUUGGCUGUUACAAAUGAUGUGGAGAUUUUCUUGGCCUUUGGAAAGUGCAUUCUUGCUUCAAAGCCGAGCUCUAUUUUGAAUGAGUUAAGAUAGCUUGAAUUUUGUUAAAGAAAGAACCAAGCUAUAAACUGGGCAUGCAGCUUAAGGGAGGGGAAAGGAGUGGAUGAUCAGGAGGGACCCCUGAACUAGUGUUGAUCUACAUGACAGUCCAUAAAUGUGAGUGAGCUGCAUCAUUCUUCCAUGAAGCUUUCCUCUCCUCCCACUCAUAACAGUAAAGGCAAAAUGAACAAUGCGAAAGUUAACUUCUUGGUCAGUUAUCAUUUGCAAAAUAUCAAAAGUUGAUAAUACAAGGAAUUCUAAGUGGACUUGCUCAUGUGUGGUGGAUGUAGGUUGUUUGUAGCUCACCUGCCAACUUACGGUAUAUGUUAUAGACCCGGGCAUUCAUCUGGUGGGGAACACUAUCAUCAAGACCUAACACAAACAUUAUUCUGGUUGACUCAUCGGAUAAGAUGUGCAUGUACAUUGAAUAUGGACCAUUGGUCAUUUUUUCCAAUGGUCCAUUUUUUUCUCAUACAAGUGUGGCCCACCUAUUGAGUAGACUAGUAUGAUUUUUGGGCUUGAGCAUUAGCAUAGUGUGCCUUCACCUGUCAUGCUCUGCUUCUUGUGCACCUAAAGCAGUGUUUGUGUAAUUGUAUUCAUUGCAUGGGCUGUUUAUGAAACAUAAUACAGAUACAUGUUUGCUAGGUGUUUCUAUAUCAAGCUGAGCAAGCCUUUCAUCAGAAAAUGAGAAAGGAAACAUGCAUGGAACUCAGCAGAGAACAUUUUUCCUGUAAACUAAAAAAGUAACAAGAAGUUGAUCACUCCUUUGUUAUAUUUAUGCCAAAGAAAAAAUAAAAUGGACAAGGUUCCCCUGUUUUGAGUGCAAGAAGCACACUCGCACCCUUGGUACAAUCAUGCUUCUCCUUGUCUUUUCUAAUUCAUGUCUAAGAUGUCUAUGACAAAAAUUGGCAUUCUUUUCAUGUAUUUUUCUUUAUUAUGAGGUUACUUAGUUUCCCAAAAUGUGUUUUGGUUGAAUUUGACUGAUGAAUUAUGGGGCAUUGUAUAUGCAGCCGAUGAUAGGCAAAAACUAUGACAUGAUGUUUGUGAUCUACAUCAGGCAUCCACCUCUCUGUUCUAAUAUUAAAGGAAUGGGCCAAAAGAGGGAAGCAAUGAUUGACUGUGGACAGCCAGCAUCCCCAUGAUGGAGAAUGACCAUAUAAAGAUCUUUCUACAUUGAAGAAAACUCUCUUGAGUUGUCUUGGUGUUGAUAUAUCAUCAUGCAGGAACUGGACACAUAGAAUUCCUAAGAUAAGAAGCAACAAUAGCUGGUGAAUGCCAACACUGAGGAUAGAAGCAUCUAUGAACAAGCUUGUCUUCUUUCAGUGAUUUGAGUAGUCCUUAAAAGAUAUUCAGGGAUUAAGUACCCAAGAAAGUGCAAAACGGAAUGACGAAAUUCUGAAAAUAAGAUCAAGAUUGUGCUUUGUUGACCAUCAGGAGUAUACGUGUGUUGAAAUCAUUCAGAAGGCAGGAUCACAAGAUUAAUGUAAGACAUGAAACACAUAAAUGCAUCCACAAGGACUAACUUCUUCAAAUGAUUUGCGAAAUCGGUUACAGCUUUUGCAAGAAAUGGUCACAGAUGAGAAGUAUAGAUUGAGCUGUUGAACCAUCUCAGGAAAUGUCAAUAGUGCAGCCCAAUUCAGAGUAAUGGAAGAAUCUCCGAUGAAAUCUCUUUAUUCGCAUUGAGAACACUAGGUAAUUCUGCUUUCUUUGUUUUCAAGAUCUGUAUGCUAUAGCUCGCACUGGGACAAAGGCUAAAAAGAUUAUGAUGAUAAUAUAUUUGUGAACCUUUGCAUCUCCUUGUAUUAGAU
Molecule: long non-coding RNA, 2198 nt
Organism: Magnolia sinica
Lineage: Eukaryota; Viridiplantae; Streptophyta; Magnoliopsida; Magnoliales; Magnoliaceae
Exons: 11
Source: RefSeq, a predicted model, not a curated record